UCGGCAAUGGACGAAAGUCUGACCGAGCAACGCCGCGUGUGCGAUGAAGGCCUUCGGGUUGUAAAGCACUGUCGAGGGGAAACAAGCCGUAAGGUUGAGUGACCCCUGGAGGAAGCACGGGCUAAGUACGUGCCAGCAGCCGCGGUAACACGUACUGUGCGAACGUUAUUCGGAAUCACUGGGCUUAAAGGGUGCGUAGGCGGCGAUUCAAGUCAGGUGUGAAAUGCCUGAGCUCAACUGAGGCAUUGCGCUUGAAACUGAAUUGCUAGAGUAUCCUAGGGGUGUGCGGAACUGCCAGUGGAACGGUGAAAUGUGUUGAUAUUGGCAGGAACACCGGAGGCGAAAGCGGCACACUGGGGGAUAACUGACGCUGAGGCACGAAAGCCAAGGGAGCGAACGGGAUUAGAUACCCCGGUAGUCUUGGCCGUAAACGAUGAGCACUGGGCGGGAGGGGGUUUCCCUUUUCUGCCGUAGCGAAAGCGUUAAGUGCUCCGCCUGGGGAGUAUGGUCGCAAGGCUGAAACUCAAAGGA
Molecule: ribosomal RNA, 531 nt
Filed under: uncultured bacterium
Lineage: Bacteria
Description: bacterial SSU rRNA
Rfam family: Bacterial small subunit ribosomal RNA
Source: RNAcentral